Long non-coding RNA from Mangifera indica (mango), 1596 nucleotides. RefSeq lists it as uncharacterized. The transcript is spliced from 2 exons. Lineage: Eukaryota; Viridiplantae; Streptophyta; Magnoliopsida; Sapindales; Anacardiaceae. The record is from RefSeq and is a predicted model, not a curated record.
ACUACGCCUCCCACAUCGUCCAGUUGCGUAACAGAUGAAUAUAUUAUAAGCAAAGACAGGGCGUAUGUUGGUUGUCUCUUCGGAGACAUCCGAUAAAAUUGGAACGAUACAGAGAAGAUUAGCAUGGCCCCUGCGCAAGGAUGACACGCACAAAUCGAGAAAUGGUCCAAAUUUUUUUCUUCCAACUGGGUUUUAUUUGUCUCUUCCCGGCAGCUUAGUUUUUUCUUUUUAUUUUUUAAUUCUGGGAUCGAUGCAGUAAUCUGUGUUUAUAUGGUGUAUUCUCUUUUUUGAUAAUAUAUUGAUUGGCUAUGUGUUGAUGGGUCUUCUUCUUCCAUUCCAUCCUUGGAAAUUCUUUUAUUAGUGUUUCUGAAAUAGCUUUUAACUGGGUUUUAUUUGUCUCUUCUCGGCAGCUCAAUUUUUAAUUUUUACUUUUUAAAUUCUGGGAUUGCAGCUUAGUUUUUUUUUAUUUAUUUUUUAAUUCUCUUUUUUGAUAAUAUAUUGAUUGGUUAUGUGUUGAUGGGUCUUCUUCUUCCAUUCCAUCCUUGGAAAUUCUUUGAUUAGUGUUUUUGAAAUAGCUUUUAACAGAAUCUUUGAAUAUAUGAUGGCCUGUCCAACCAAUUGCUUCUUUCUCGGAUUCUGCAAUAAUGUUGGUUGUGGCUUGUAAUAUCUCUGUGUUAAUUAGCCUUGAUUUAUGUGCUUUUACAUGGCAAGAAUUAUUAGCGUAGUGGGAUUCUUUCUACCUUUAGAUUGCAUUAUCUUUUAUUUGUGCUUCUGAAAUAGCUUUAAAUCAUCCCUCAAAAACCAGCUGAAUGGACAGUGGCCUUUGUGCACUCAAUUGGUAAACUCAUUCUGUAUCUCAUUCCCAAAAGUUUCUGUUAAUUGGUUUUUUCUUGUUUCUGUUCAAGUAACCAUUAAUUAUAAGUUGUUUGUUUUGCUUCUAGUUCUUUUCAAAGCGCCAGAAUAUUUAAAACUAGCAAUUCUUAAGUAAAUUUAACUUAAUCGUGUUAUACUAAUAAUAAUUGGAAUACUUCAGUUACGGAGAAUGUCACAUUUCAUCUUUGCUCGAGGAAUUUUUGAUUGUGUAAGUGAUAUCACAAGAUUGUUAUAAACAGUAAAAGACUGUAGUUAGUUGUUUCUUGCUCGGUCAGAGAGUUUGAGCAAUAAUUCUCCAUCUCUUUUCUCACUACUAGACUUCUUGAAUAUGGACUAACUUUUACAUUUGCUCUCUAAUGGGGCAUAAAUUGAAGAUAAUUUGGGCACAGUUAGGCCUUGUGGAAAGAUUUCAAAUGCCUUUAAAUUACAGAUAGGUUUUGUUUUUCUUUCACAGGGCAUCAUGGGAAGAAGAUAUUGUUUUCAGUGGCGUUGAUAUUUGAUUGAUUAUAUUCACUUGAGUUAGCGGAAAAGAUUAAAGGAUGGGCAUAAUAGAGAAUGUUUCAAGGUCACUGCUUUGCAUCUUUUCUUUGUGAUGAAUAUUUAAUUCAUAUCAUGGAGAUCCAGGUUAUCUUUACUCUUUUAUUUUCCUUUGUGUUCAUUUAUUUUUAAUUACGAGAAUAAAGCUUUAAUUUGGCGAAGAAUCAAAACUUUAGUUGGUGGUUA